Molecule: transfer RNA, 87 nt
Filed under: Chloroflexi bacterium RBG_13_46_9
Lineage: Bacteria; Bacillati; Chloroflexota
Description: tRNA-Ser
Rfam family: tRNA
About the family: Transfer RNA (tRNA) molecules are approximately 80 nucleotides in length. Their secondary structure includes four short double-helical elements and three loops (D, anti-codon, and T loops). Further hydrogen bonds mediate the characteristic L-shaped molecular structure. tRNAs have two regions of fundamental functional importance: the anti-codon, which is responsible for specific mRNA codon recognition, and the 3' end, to which the tRNAs corresponding amino acid is attached (by aminoacyl-tRNA synthetases). tRNAs cope with the degeneracy of the genetic code in two manners: having more than one tRNA (with a specific anti-codon) for a particular amino acid; and 'wobble' base-pairing, i.e. permitting non-standard base-pairing at the 3rd anti-codon position.
Source: RNAcentral
GGAGAGGUGACCGAGAGGCCGAUGGUGCCGCUCUCGAAAAGCGGUUCCCGAUUCUUCGGGACGUGGGUUCGAAUCCCACCCUCUCCG